Molecule: unclassified non-coding RNA, 3319 nt
Filed under: Drosophila virilis
Lineage: Eukaryota; Metazoa; Arthropoda; Insecta; Diptera; Drosophilidae
Description: GJ14028
Source: RNAcentral
UGCGUUCGGUUGUUAUUUUUAGUCGCAAUCGGUUGGGCAAGCUCGGCCUCCGUACCUGUACCAAGCCUUAAACUCGUAACGCCUGCGCGUAUUUCUUAUGCAUUUUAAAACGGUUGAAAAUCAUGCGAAAUACGUAGUUGAAACGUUUACAAAACAAAAACACACAAUUGUUAAAUAAUAGAUACAAAAUAGAUGUGUUGCAAGUGUAAAGUGUGCACAGGUGUUUAAGUGCUCAAUUCCAAUUGGAUUAACGCUAAGGAACUUAAAGUGCCUUCGAUAAUAACUCAAUCAGCUCAGCUCACGUAUCGGAAACUGUAGUUCGUGUAAUUCGGCAGAAGUAGCCGAAAAGUUGUCGUGCAAACAAAUACUCGAAACGCUAUCUAAGUCCAGCAGAAAAAGAAAUAAAACCAAAAACAAGCCGUCGAGAAGCUGAAAGCCGACAAACAGUUGGCUCGUUUAUCGUGUUGGCAUUUAAUUUAGUUGGUUACGUGGCCGGAGCUUCGUGUGGCCGCCGAAAAGAAAGUCACGACAUUAUCCAAAGCGGUUCAAAACAAGAUUUCCAAGAUUCUGCGCCGAAAGUCAAAGUUACAAGUUUACAUUUUGGCCCGGUUCAACGUCUUUGAGCGCCAGCGUGUGUGUGCCAGUGUGUGUGUGCCAGUGUGUGUGUGUGUGUACAUGUUUGUGCCACUUUAGAAAGUGAAAAUCGAGUGCAGUCCCAUUCCGUCAGACCUGCCUCUGGGCGCUGCAGCUGAAAGUGAAUUUGCCGCUUCAAUCUUCAAUUCCCAGUAGCUGCAGACAGACAGCCAGACUUCGGGUUGCCUCUGCCCAUUCAUCGAUAGAGCCGUAGUCGUAUUUGAAUCCACGUCCGAAAAGCCCAACAAUGGAGGCCGAAGAAAUUACAAAGCUCGUUGAUGGCGUUUAUAGGAAUAUACUCGAUAGAUUUAAUCCGGGUGCCAGGCAGCUAAUUGCGGCGGGCAAAAGUUACCUGAAGGCGUUGCAUGGUGCCGCAACUGCCUCGCGUCUAUUCAAUGAAGCAUUGGCCAAGAUUGCAAUGAACGCGCAACAAAGCGGAACAGGCGAUAUUGGUUCGGCUUUGAUGAGCGUUGUUAAUGUUAACAAGGAGAUACAGGAGCAACAGAUGAAUAUUCUGAAAGCCUUCUACGUUGAUCUAUUGGUGCCAUUGGAGACGAAUUUGGAGAAGGACACGAAAGUCGUGCAACAUGAGCAAAAGAAAUUUAUGCAGCAGCACAAAGUGCGCAUGGAGAGCUACCAGAAGGCCGUUUCCACAAUGAAAAAGCAGCGCAAGAAAAAGGCCACGCCCGAGAAUACCGAAAAGGAGCUGAGAAGCCUGCAACUGUUGGAGGAUCAAAAGAAAAAACUCGACAUAUUUUGUGAUCAGAGCUAUAAGAAUGCCAUGACACAGGAGCGUCGUCGCUAUGGCUUCGUCUUGGAGCGCCAGUGCUCGAUCGCCAAGCACUGGAUGGCCUACCAUGCCACCGGCAAAACAGUAAUUGAUAAUAAUUUCGAAAAUUGGCAAGAGAUUGCCGCUUCUCGUGAGAUAAUUCCGCCGGCCGCAUACGAAAGCGCCGGCUACAGCAGCAGCAACAGCAACACAAGACGCCUGGUGAGUCAUCAUGCGCCCAGCCCUAACAACCUCUCUCUCUUAACCACUCUCCGACUGUUCGUCUGUUUGUCUGUCCAGGAGCGCAUCAAAGACGCUGACGAUGAUCAGCUUCAGCUCCAGGGCCAAGGCCAGGGCCAGGGCCUGGGCGCCCAGCUAAAGAAGUCGCGCAGCAUCGAUGCGCCGUACGGCGACAUGCGCACUCUGCACGAGCGUGAGGGUGUCUCUGGAUCGGCGCACUAUGCUCAGAACUCGCUGCCACGUGCCAAAUCCGAUUUCAAUCUGGCGCUGGUCGGCGCAGGACCCAUCACAGGCAGCAAACACAAAAUCAUUGAGGAGCAGCUGAUGCAUGGCGAGCUCGAGCGCGGGGAUCAACGUCCGCUGGUCAAGGCGCUCUACGCGUACAUGCCGUCCGGCGAGAAUCAGCUGUCCUUUGAGGAGGGCGAUCGCAUAGCGCUUGUGGGCGCCAAGGCCAAGGGCUGGCAGUUCGGUGAGAAUCUGCGCACUCAGCACUUCGGCUGGUUCCCUGUGGCGUACACCAACGCGGAGAGCCUGGAGCUGCCGCCCUCCGCCGGUCGACGCUACGAGAACAUGCACAUGAGCUACGAGCGCAACGGCGCCAGCGGACUGCGCAGCUACCAUGAACAGCAGCAGCAGCAACAGCAGCAGCAGCAGCAGUAUGAGGCGCAACUGGAGCUCCUGGACAGCGAUGCCACCUAUCGGCGACGACGCAAUCACAGCGCCGAGGAGUCCUCGCCCACGCGCAUGUUUGGCGACACCAUCAAGCAGCAGAAGAAGUACCGCUCCGGCUCCGCGGCCAAUCCACGUCCCGGCCCGCCGCCCACGCUGCCCGCUCCCGUGCCCAAUGCUGGCCAGAGCCAGAGCGCCCGAAUGCUGAACAGCUCGCAAAGCUUCUGUGCCACCAAUGGGGUGCCAGCUGCCGUGGAGAGGCGCAAGCAGAAGCUGCUAAAUGGAGCACAGAGCUCGAUGAGUCAACCGUCCACAAAGUCCGCGGCGGCGGCAAAGACCUCGCUGCACAGCAGCAACGACAGCGGCUUCGCCAAUGAGCCGCCGCCUCAGCCCGAGGUGGACUACUCCGACGAGGAGCCAGCCACACAACGUGUGCCCAUACGCAGGCGCGGUAUUUAUCGCAACUAUUCCAUAGGCUACAGAAGCUAGACACUAAUUACAACCAACCCGUAGAAGUACACUUUAUAUUCCACACAAAAUUCCACUGUAUAAUUGAAUGCGUAUGUAAAAAGCUGUCAUACCCCUCCUUGUCCUUUAAAUUGUACAAAGUUGCUAAAACCAUGCGUAUCGCCUCGCAAUUUGCCACCAUCAAGUUGCGGCACACGAAGACCAAUGAUCGCUCGGCUCCGAUGAUCUACCGGAGCGUCAACAAGUAGCAACGACUGCGCAAGGUGGAGUUUUCGUUGUGACCGUGCGACAAGGCCUACUGAAAACUUCAGCUACACACACACACACACACACACACACACAAACACAAUCCUAAGCCUGAACACAAAAUUAAAACAUAAACCUUAUCUAUUAAAAAGAGCUAAUGAUUCUGCUCUGUCAUGCCCGACAAACUGGAACUCGAAGGACCAGCAGUUGACCAGUUCCAACUGCAGUUGGGCAAGGAUUCUUGGUAGUCAUUAAGUUGUAUUGUUUGUUAAAAAAUUAUGUAUGUAUGUUAAU